GUAUUUGAACCUUGGGCCUGGCUGGCCGGUCCGCCUCACCGCGUGUACUGGUCCGGCCGGGUCUUUCCCUCUGUGGAACUCCAUGCCCUUCACUGGGUGUGGCAGGGAAACAGGACUUUUACUUUGAAAAAAUUAGAGUGCUCCAGGCAGGCCUUUGCUCGAAUACAUUAGCAUGGAAUAAUAAAAUAGGACGUGUGGUUCUAUUUUGUUGGUUUCUAGGACCGCCGUAAUGAUUAAUAGGGACAGUCGGGGGCAUCAGUAUUCAAUAGUCAGAGGUGAAAUUCUUGGAUCUAUUGAAGACUAACUACUGCGAAAGCAUUUGCCAAGGAUGUUUUCAUUAAUCAGGAACGAAAGUUAGGGGAUCGAAGACGAUCAGAUACC
This 381-nucleotide ribosomal RNA is filed under the name Cordyceps memorabilis. RNAcentral's name for it is "SSU rRNA". It matches the Rfam family "Eukaryotic small subunit ribosomal RNA", at positions 630 to 1016 of the family's 1831-position model. The record is from RNAcentral. Lineage: Eukaryota; Fungi; Ascomycota; Sordariomycetes; Hypocreales; Cordycipitaceae.